RNAcentral lists this long non-coding RNA (468 nucleotides) under Anas platyrhynchos platyrhynchos (common mallard). RNAcentral describes it as "lncRNA (ENSAPLG00000025950.1)". Lineage: Eukaryota; Metazoa; Chordata; Aves; Anseriformes; Anatidae. The record is from RNAcentral.
AGCAAAUAAGUGGAACUGAAAGGAACGCUUCCAGAGGAAGGAGAAUCGCUCCCUGAACUGUUUUAGAUGUUAGCAGCAGCAAGACACAAACAAUGCAGACACGUUGAGAGUCUCUCUGCAAAGCAAUUUUGCUGUCAGUGCAUCAAAGGGGGCUUUCCGCUGGUGCAGGGAAGCCUCUGGCUUAGCCCCACUGCUACGCUGGUUGGUGCAGAUCUCUGCUUGUCCUGUAGCACCGGGUCUCUUCUCCAUACAGGCAACAAAGAAGGGCAGAAAGAACACCCAAGAACUCCUCAGGAAGCGAGCACAUCCAGCACCAGCACCUUGCAGAGGGAAAGCCAUCUGACAGAUCACCUUCUGUGCCUGCACAAGCCUGGUUCCCAACCCCAAAGCAUCUCACGGGUUACCAAGUGCUGCAGAGAGUGCUGCUCCUACAAAAUCUAUCUUCUCAACUUCCCUGUUUUUCCCUGA